Molecule: transfer RNA, 62 nt
Filed under: Hemisodorcus donckieri
Lineage: Eukaryota; Metazoa; Arthropoda; Insecta; Coleoptera; Lucanidae
Description: tRNA-Asp
Source: RNAcentral
AAGGGUUUAGUUAAACUAUAACACUAAUUUGUCAAGUUAAAAUUACUUCUAAGUAGCCCUUA